RNAcentral lists this microRNA precursor (105 nucleotides) under Canis lupus familiaris (dog). RNAcentral describes it as "mir-8834 microRNA precursor family". It matches the Rfam family "mir-8834 microRNA precursor family". RNAcentral also lists the same sequence under 2 other names. The record is from Rfam by way of RNAcentral. Lineage: Eukaryota; Metazoa; Chordata; Mammalia; Carnivora; Canidae.
AGGAGGAACAACCGCAGUGGCGGGGCCAGCUCUGCAGCCCUGGAGUCAGCUCCCGCAGUCACCACAGAGCUCUCCGUCUGCAGGGCCUGGAGGCUCCGGGGCGGG